GACGAACGCUGGCGGCGUGCUUAACACAUGCAAGUCGAACGGAAAGGCCCUGCUUUUGUGGGGUGCUCGAGUGGCGAACGGGUGAGUAACACGUGAGUAACCUGCCCUUGACUUUGGGAUACCUUCAGGAACCUGGGCCUAAUACCGGAUAGGAGCUCCUGCUGCUUGGUGGGGGUUGGAAGUUUUGGGGGUUUGGGGCGGGCUCCCGGGCUUUUCAGCUUGUGGGGGGGGUUGGGCUUCCCCAGGCUUUUGCGGGUAGCCGGGCCGGGAGGGGGACCGGCCACAGUGGGACUGAGAUACGGCCCAGACCCCUACGGGGGGGAGCAGUGGGGAAUAUUGCACAAUGGGCGGAAGCCUGAUGCAGCAACGCCGCGUGCGGGAUGACGGCCUUCGGGUUGUAAACCGCUUUCGCCUGUGACGAAGCGUGAGUGACGGUAAUGGGUAAAGAAGCACCGGCUAACUACGUG
Molecule: ribosomal RNA, 467 nt
Filed under: uncultured bacterium
Lineage: Bacteria
Description: partial 16S ribosomal RNA
Rfam family: Bacterial small subunit ribosomal RNA
Source: RNAcentral